Benincasa hispida (wax gourd) is the source of this 2889-nucleotide long non-coding RNA. RefSeq lists it as uncharacterized. Lineage: Eukaryota; Viridiplantae; Streptophyta; Magnoliopsida; Cucurbitales; Cucurbitaceae. The record is from RefSeq and is a predicted model, not a curated record.
CAAAGAGAAAUGUUCGUAGGCAUAAAGGCGCAUUAUAUAAAAUAUAAAUUCAAUCCAAAAGAGUAAAAUGCAAUUUGAUAGCAAUUAGAAAGAAAAAACCUCCCUCACCAUCUAUUUUCAUCUCAAUACAUCUUUUUUUUUUGGAAAUUCUUGUGCUCUAGACACAAAAUUGCUUAAGGAUUUGUAUGCUUUAAUUUAUCCAAAUAAAUGAUUUUUAAAAAGAGUUUAGGUAAAUUAUGUUUAUUUCAAUUAUGUAUAAGCGGUAAUUCUCCUAAUUAACAUAUUCCUCGUAUUCUUUGUGAUAGUCUUCCAUUCACCUUUAUAAAGAUAUACUGAUUAUUCAAUUUAAGAUUAACACAUCAACAUGAUAUCAGAGCCCAUAUAUUAUGGUGUUGCAUAGUGGCCUUUUCCUAAAAUCGUGGUAGUCACUCAAAAAUGUUGCAGUCACUUAGGUUUGCAACCACUCACUUGUUCGUAGUUCACUCAGAUCUAACUGCGGUUAUUCAUUUGUGGUCACCGUUGUGAAUAAAAUUGAAUAGGUAGCCCACUUUUUAAAAAUAUUAGUAAUUGACCUUCUGCUAACAUCGUGGAUGAGUGAAGUUACGGACUUGCACUUCCUUUAAAUUUUUUCUUUCUUUUUUUCUUGUUUUCUUCUCUUCUUCUUCCUCUUAUUCUCCAGGGAUCAAUUGGGCGGUUCUUUCAAAUUCUUUAUUUCUUUUGUUGUUCUUCUUUUGUUCUCUUUUUCUUCCUCUUGUUCUCCAACAAGCGACCAAAUCAAAUCCGGCGAGUCUACUCGAGUCUUUUUCUUCUAUCCCACGUUUCAGUUUGUGUUACAAAACGAGAUUGAGUGUCAAAGAGCGAGAUGAGCAAGAAUGGAGAUAGGACAACGAGAUCGAGUGAGAUAGAGGAAAGCAAUCAUGAGAAAAAAAAGGAGAUAGGACAACGGUGAAAGGUGAAAGGAAGCAAGAUAGAGAAGAUAAAGGGAGAUCGAGAGCGAAGAGCGAGAAAGGUCAUUCUGUGUGCGCACGAGGGUUUCAUUUUAGUAAUUCCACCUGAAUUUGGCGUUAGCAAAAGGUAAAAAAAACCUUAUUUUCAAAAAGCAAAACAAAUCUCAUUUUCUCCUAAUUUGGAUCAUCCAUACAAAAACUCCACCGUUGUGUGACUGUUUAGAUCAGUUCAUGUGACUAUUUGUUUGUGGCUGUCAUGUUUGGGUUUCCUCAAAUUCUUUCGUGGUUGUCGUUCGUGGUUUUGCUUAGUUCUGCGUUCGUGGGUUCUAGAUCUACUCUGAAUCUGCUGCAUAUCUACUCUGAAUUUCUUCUACUCUAGCACCAUAUCUACUCUGAGUCCUUUUGUGGCCAACGUCUGUCCUACUCUAGCUCUGUUAGUGACUUCUGGAUCUACUCCGAGUCUUAUCUAGAUCGCACUACCUUGUCGAUGACCUGCUAAGUUCGUGGGUAUUUAUUCCAUUCGUAUUUUUAGUUCUGCCAUUCAUGCUAUGGGUCUCUUUUCGUGGAGCUAUUUGUGUUUUCAGAUCUACUGCCUACCAAACGCUCAGUUAUAUGCAGGGGUCUCAAUUUUGUCUGAUAUAAGCAUCACGAUUUCAUUUGCCAUAUUUAAGAUGGUCAAACCGGCGUAGUUCAUUCAAACAGGUUCAAUCUGGCUUAGUCAAACCAGUUCAAUUUGGUUCAUAUCGAUUCAGUUUAGUUUGGUUCACUUAUUUAUUUGAUUCAGCUAUUUAUUCACUGUUUCUGAUGUAAAAAAUCUACCAGUCUCUUCUCUACACAUAUUUCCAAUUAAAAGGUCAUAAAUUUAUUGAUUGUUCUAUAAUUGAAUAUAAAUAUUGUCACAAAAGAGGUCAUAUUUUGGACAUUUGUCCUAUUCAAUGCCUCCUCCUCUCAGUAGAUCCACCACAACAAGGGACUUUUCUAUAGUCGGUUCCUUCUCUGUUGUUGUUGCUACCUUCUCUACUAAUGACUUUUUUUCUUCCUCAGUUCUCAUUCAGUAAUCUUCAAUAUUCAUUAAACCAAGUAAUCUCAUUACAUUCAUCUACCCUUGCGAUUACAUUAGGUAAUUCUUGACUUUUUGACAUUGCUUGUUGUAAUUAUAUGCCUUCUAAUAUCUUGCUUCUAGCAUCCUCACUCCUACCUCAUCACUUCCCUAUAUUCAUGUUGCUAAUGAAAAUUGUAUGUCAAUUGUUUAUCUUGGUAUUUUUAUCACACCCACCUUCAAUUUUCCUUAUACAUAACAUGUCCCUAAUCUUAAUUUCAAUCUCGCUUUUGUUGGCCAAUUAUGUAACCUUUCCCUAACUGUUUGUUUUUCUCCUAAUGGUAUCAUAUUCAAGACCUAAAAACAGGAUAGAUAGUUGGUAGGGGCCACAAAGUGGGACAAUUAUUUAAGCACACAUCUGUCAACUCUUUGGUUCUUCAUCUAUUUUUGCAUCUUCGAUGACUCUACCAUCCAUCAAUGACAUCUGCGUCUUGUUCAUGCUUCGUUUGAGAAUCUUCGUUUUGGGCAUCUUAGAGGUAGAGUCGGGUAUUAGUGACGAAAUGGAGCUAAAACAGGCGAUAAGGAGCUUAAUUGCACCAAUCGGGAAGGAAGAGCUGCAAAUGACGGUUUUCCCUCUACAUGCAUGGAGCCAUGCUCAACCCUGAAAAGGGAGAAUGCCUCAAUUUCAUGCAAAGCACACAGCGCUGCAGUGCUACCUAAGGCAACGCUGCAACGCUUCAAAGUUUGAAUGCAUGUUGUUUCUGUCAACAUCGUGGCUCUAUAGACUACCACUACGACACCAUCCCGAUUAUUAUCUAAACAACUUCAGCUGCCUAGGUUAAAUAUUAUAGCUUGUGAGAUUUUGAUCAUUAUCUAAAAUUCCAUUGAUUUGUCUUUGGAUUC